RNAcentral lists this ribosomal RNA (506 nucleotides) under uncultured Eubacteriales bacterium. RNAcentral's name for it is "uncultured Clostridiales bacterium partial 16S ribosomal RNA". Lineage: Bacteria; Bacillati; Bacillota; Clostridia; Eubacteriales. The record is from RNAcentral.
CACGUAGUUAGCCGGGGCUUCUUACUCAGGUACCGUCUGCUGACCGUAAGGUCAGUAUUUCUUCCCUGCUGAUAGAGCUUUACGUAACGAAUUACUUCUUCACUCACGCGGCGUCGCUGCAUCAGGGUUUCCCCCAUUGUGCAAUAUUCCCCACUGCUGCCUCCCGUAGGAGUCUGGGCCGUGUCUCAGUCCCAAUGUGGCCGUCCGCCCUCUCAGGCCGGCUACUGAUCGUCGCCUUGGUGGGCCGUUACCCCGCCAACAAGCUAAUCAGACGCGGGUCCAUCUUACACCACCGGAGUUUUUCACACCGCUUCAUGCGAAGCUGUGCGCUUAUGCGGUUUUAGCACCUAUUUCUAAGUGUUAUCCCCCUGUGUAAGGCAGGUUACCCACGCGUUACUCACCCGUCCGCCACUAACCCAUAUAUCACUAGGUUUCAAUAUGGGUCCGUUCGACUUGCAUGUGUUAAGCACGCCGCCAGCGUUCAUCCUGAGCCAGGAUCAAACUCU